Molecule: ribosomal RNA, 161 nt
Filed under: Macvicaria alacris
Lineage: Eukaryota; Metazoa; Platyhelminthes; Trematoda; Plagiorchiida; Opecoelidae
Also listed under: 1 other name
Description: partial 18S ribosomal RNA
Rfam family: Eukaryotic small subunit ribosomal RNA
Source: RNAcentral
CCGUCGCUACUACCGAUUGAAUGGUUUAGCAAGGUCAUCGGAUUGGGCAACUAUGGCUGCUUGUCAGUCUUGUUUGCACUGAAAAGACGACCGAGCUUGAUCAUUUAGAGGAAGUAAAAGUCGUAACAAGGUUUCCGUAGGUGAACCUUCGGAAGGAUCAU